RNAcentral lists this ribosomal RNA (328 nucleotides) under uncultured eukaryote. Its description in RNAcentral is "partial 18S ribosomal RNA". It matches the Rfam family "Eukaryotic small subunit ribosomal RNA", at positions 1470 to 1796 of the family's 1831-position model. The record is from RNAcentral.
CCCUUAGAUGUUCUGGGCUGCACGCGCGCUACACUGAUGCACUCAACGAGUUUUCGACCUUGCCCGAUAGGGCUGGGUAAUCUUUUUAAAAUGCAUCGUGAUGGGGAUAGAUUAUUGCAAUUAUUAAUCUUCAACGAGGAAUGCCUAGUAGGCGCAAGUCAUCAGCUUGCGUCGAUUACGUCCCUGCCCUUUGUACACACCGCCCGUCGCUCCUACCGAUUGGGUGUGCUGGUGAAAUGUUCGGAUCGGCCGUUUGUCGCGGUUUCCGCGUCAUGUGGCUGAGAAGUUCAUUAAACCCUCCCACCUAGAGGAAGGAGAAGUCGUAACA